This is a long non-coding RNA of Daphnia pulicaria, 760 nucleotides long. RefSeq lists it as uncharacterized. The record is from RefSeq and is a predicted model, not a curated record. Lineage: Eukaryota; Metazoa; Arthropoda; Branchiopoda; Diplostraca; Daphniidae. The transcript is spliced from 3 exons.
UUCACCUCGACGUGAUAUUCUUGGCGCCUCUUCCUCGUGGAUUGAAGAUCAGACAGUAAAGUUUUAUGUUGCUGGAAUGCUAGUCACGUUUGUCGAGGAUCACGUGGGUCACCGACGAAAAAGUAACUUCAGGUUAAUGGCACGGUGUGGAUUUUCACAGCAACACGACACAAUUUUGAUUUGCACACAAAGGAUUUGUUACACAGUGACCUUUGUUCUCAUUGUUCUGUUCGUGUCAAUAGUUGGAAAUAUGUAGGUGAAUUAACCAGAAACCACAAGUUAUAGUAAACAGUUGAUUCACACCUCUACUCGAAACGUUUGAAGAAAACAAUGCUGUUUUUAACAACGUUGCAAAUUUUCACAUCAAUUAACACAAAGAGAAUAUGGCCACCCCGGAAAUCUAGAAAUAUGUCGGAAUUUUAUUAUUGGAAAUCCCAGUAAGCUUUCAUUUCAACCAUUCGAUUCGGCUUUCUUUGCGCAUUAGUUAAUUACUUUUUUUUUGGUGAAAUUAAUCUGCAAAACACAGGCGUACAACUACCGAUGCAUUCAGUUGUGCGAAAUGGUUUUCUCUCUCGUAUCAUGUCCUGUGUAGUUCCAGAUGGUGAUACCGGAUGACUAUAAGCUGGUGCUUAUUUUUAACGGUAGCCCAAGCUUUCACAAGACGAUUCUCUCAUCCGCCGUAGUUUAUUGCACCCUUUUUUUUUUGGGCGGCCUCAUUUGAUGGCUCUCACCCAACAAUUCACUAUCCGGAAAUUAUGGC